GGUUUGCCCGCAUUAGGGAUAGUAACGGCAUCCUUUUUGCUUUUUUUUGCAAAAAGAUAUAGUGGAUAGCCCGACUUUUU
RNAcentral lists this small RNA (80 nucleotides) under Lacinutrix sp. 5H-3-7-4. RNAcentral describes it as "Flavo-1 RNA". It matches the Rfam family "Flavo-1 RNA". The record is from Rfam by way of RNAcentral. Lineage: Bacteria; Pseudomonadati; Bacteroidota; Flavobacteriia; Flavobacteriales; Flavobacteriaceae.